UGAAUACGAGACGCUAAGGCGUCGAAGUAGUGUAUGUCAUACUUCCAAGAAAAGCUUGCACUGUCAUAGAUAAAAAACGCCUGUACCAUAACCGACACAGGUGGGUAGGUAGAGUAUACUAAGGGGCGCGAGAUAACUCUCUCUAAGGAACUCGGCAAAAUGACUCCGUAACUUCGGGAGGAGGAGUGCCUUAUUCUUAAGGUUGCAAUAACAAGAUCCAAGCAACUGUUUAUCAAAAACACAGGUCUCCGCUAAGUCGUAAGACGAUGUAUGGGGGCUGACGCCUGCCCAGUGCCAGAAGGUUAAAGAAGUUGGUUAGCAUUUGCGAAGCUGAUAACUGAAGCCCUGGUGAACGGCGGCCGUAACGAUAACGGUCCUAAGGUAGCGAAAUUCCUUGUCGGGUAAGUUCCGACCCGCACGAAAGGCGUAAUGAUUUGGAUACUGUCUCGGAGAGGGGCUCGGUGAAAUAGACUUGUCUGUGAAGAUGCGGACUACCUGCACCAGGACAGAAAGACCCUAUGAAGCUUUACUGUAACUUGAAAUUGAAAUUGGACUUUAUUCGCGCAGUACAGGUGGGAGGCGUUGAUUAUAAUCUUGCGGGAUUAUUGGAGCCAUCAGUGAGAUACCACCCUUGUAAUGUUAGAUUUCUAACUUUGAAUCAUUAUCUGGUCAAAGAACAGUUUCAGGCGGGCAGUUUGACUGGGGCGGUCGCCUCCUAAACGGUAACGGAGGCGUACAAAGGUUUCCUCUGAACGGUUAGAAAUCGUAUCUAGAGUGUAAAGGCAUAAGGAAGCUUGACUGUGAGACCUACAAGUCGAGCAGGGACGAAAGUCGGUCUUAGUGAUCUGACGGUACUGAGUGGAAAGGCCGUCACUCAACGGAUAAAAGUUACUCUAAGGAUAACAGGCUGAUCUCCCCCAAGAGUUCACAUCGACGGGGAGGUUUGGCACCUCGAUGUCGGCUCAUCGCAUCCUGGGGCGGUAGUACGUCCCAAGGGUUGGGCAGUUCGCCCAUGAAAGCGGUACGCGAGCUGGGUUCAGAACGUCGUGAGACAGUUCGGUCCAUAUCCGGUGUAGGCGUUAGAAUAUUGAGAGGAGCCUUCUUUAGUACGAGAGGACCGAGAAGGACAUACCUCUGGUGUACCAGUUAUCGUGCCAACGGUAAACGCUGGGUAGCUAUGUAUGGAGUGGAUAACCGCUGAAAGCAUCUAAGUGGGAAGCCCACCUCAAGAUAAGUAUUCUC
Molecule: ribosomal RNA, 1242 nt
Filed under: metagenome
Description: bacterial LSU rRNA
Rfam family: Bacterial large subunit ribosomal RNA
Source: RNAcentral